RNAcentral lists this ribosomal RNA (253 nucleotides) under uncultured bacterium. RNAcentral's name for it is "partial 16S ribosomal RNA". It matches the Rfam family "Bacterial small subunit ribosomal RNA", at positions 524 to 776 of the family's 1533-position model. The record is from RNAcentral.
UACGUAGGGCGCAAGCGUUAUCCGGAAUUAUUGGGCGUAAAGCGCUCGUAGGCGGUUUGUCGCGUCUGCCGUGAAAGUCCGGGGCUCAACUCCGGAUCUGCGGUGGGUACGGGCAGACUAGAGUGAUGUAGGGGAGAUUGGAAUUCCUGGUGUAGCGGUGGAAUGCGCAGAUAUCAGGAGGAACACCAAUGGCGAAGGCAGAUCUCUGGGCCGUAACUGACGCUGAGGAGCGAAAGCAUGGGGAGCGAACAGG